UCCAUCUUCCGACCGGCGAUCAGUAAGUGCACCAGAUUGGGAAUAACCUUCAAAAGCUGCAACUUAAAUAUUCCCAGUAAUGUCCACUUACAAGGAGCCCCUGGUUGGAUGGGUGGA
Drosophila melanogaster (fruit fly) is the source of this 117-nucleotide non-coding RNA. The record is from Ensembl. NCBI's taxonomy places the organism in Eukaryota, Metazoa, Arthropoda, Insecta, Diptera, Drosophilidae.